GAUUGAACGCUGGCGGCAUGCCUUACACAUGCAAGUCGAACGGUAACAGGUUAAGCUGACGAGUGGCGAACGGGUGAGUAAUAUAUCGGAACGUGCCCAGUCGUGGGGGAUAACUGCUCGAAAGAGCAGCUAAUACCGCAUACGACCUGAGGGUGAAAGCGGGGGAUCGCAAGACCUCGCGCGAUUGGAGCGGCCGAUAUCAGAUUAGGUAGUUGGUGGGGUAAAAGCCCACCAAGCCAACGAUCUGUAGCUGGUCUGAGAGGACGACCAGCCACACUGGGACUGAGACACGGCCCAGACUCCUACGGGAGGCAGCAGUGGGGAAUUUUGGACAAUGGACGCAAGUCUGAUCCAGCCAUGCCGCGUGCGGGAAGAAGGCCUUCGGGUUGUAAACCGCUUUUGUCAGGGAAGAAAAGGUUCUGGUUAAUACCUGGGACUCAUGACGGUACCUGAAGAAUAAGCACCGGCUAACUACGUGCCAGCAGCCGCGGUAAUACGUAGGGUGCAAGCGUUAAUCGGAAUUACUGGGCGUAAAGCGUGCGCAGGCGGUUAUGCAAGACAGAUGUGAAAUCCCCGGGCUCAACCUGGGAACUGCAUUUGUGACUGCAUGGCUAGAGUACGGUAGAGGGGGAUGGAAUUCCGCGUGUAGCAGUGAAAUGCGUAGAUAUGCGGAGGAACACCGAUGGCGAAGGCAAUCCCCUGGACCUGUACUGACGCUCAUGCA
Molecule: ribosomal RNA, 724 nt
Filed under: uncultured beta proteobacterium
Lineage: Bacteria; Pseudomonadati; Pseudomonadota; Betaproteobacteria
Description: bacterial SSU rRNA
Rfam family: Bacterial small subunit ribosomal RNA
Source: RNAcentral